UUAAGUUCAGCGGGUAGUCUUACCUGAUUUGAGGUCAAAAUUGUCAAAGUUGUCCGAGACGGACGGUUAGAAGCGAGUCUAUAACAGUCAUCCCAAUCCACGGCGUAGAUAAUUAUCACACCAAUAGAUUAGGGGACUAACCCACUAAUACGUUUUAGAAGAGCAGACCACACGAGGCGGACCUGCAACCCCCACAUCCA
This 200-nucleotide unclassified non-coding RNA is filed under the name Coprinopsis sp. RNAcentral's name for it is "partial internal transcribed spacer 2". Lineage: Eukaryota; Fungi; Basidiomycota; Agaricomycetes; Agaricales; Psathyrellaceae. The record is from RNAcentral.